This 414-nucleotide ribosomal RNA is filed under the name Triticum aestivum (bread wheat). Its description in RNAcentral is "partial small subunit ribosomal RNA". The record is from RNAcentral. Lineage: Eukaryota; Viridiplantae; Streptophyta; Magnoliopsida; Poales; Poaceae.
AUGACCACAGCCGGUGCGCGGGGUAGAUUUGGCCGGCCUCUUCCAGUUUUCCGUCCGCUCAGAUGCGACCGUGAUGUGCUUCUUCAUCACCGCCAUCAUCCUCUGCUGAGCCGAGCCGUCAGAAGUAGAGAGUCAAGCGGCUGGAGAGAGCGUUGCUGGAGAGGCAGACACAUCAAAUCUGAUGCUGCCCGCAGCUUUGUCUAUGCUGUUAUGAAGAUCAGCUUGGCCCUGAAGAAGUUAUUUGAGGAUGGCGUGGUUAAGCAUGAAGAUCUGUUCAUCACCUUUAAGCUAUGGUUCUGUGCACCUAAAGAUGUGCCAGAGGCAAUUGUCGCCACCCUUAAAGAGCUUUUACAGCACCUUCUGUGUGAUCUUGUCCGACCACCUCCUCCUGUACUAUCUCCUCAAUCGUGGUGA